GACGAACGCUGGCGGCGUGCUUAACACAUGCAAGUCGAACGGUGAAGCGCCUUCCUUUUUGGUGGGUGUGGAUGCGUGGCGAACGGGUGAGUAACACGUGAGUAACCUGCCCCCUUCUUCUGGAUAACCGCAUGAAAGCGUGGCUAAUACGGGAUAUUCUGGGUCUGUCGCAUGAUGGGUCUGGGAAAGAUAUUGGUUCGGUGGGGGAUGGGCUCGGGGCCUUUCUGCUUGUUGGGGGGGUGAGGGCCUUCCAAGGCUGUGACGGGUAGCCGGCCUUGCAGGGUGGACGGCCUGACAGGGUGUGAGGCACGACCGAGACUGAGACGGGGGGCAGCAGUGGGGAAUAUGGCACAAUGGGGGAAAGUCUGAUGCGGCGGCGCCGCGUGAGGGAUGAAGGCCUGCGGGUGGUGAACCUCUUUCGCCAGUGAAGCGGGCCUGCCUCGUAUGUGGGUGGGUUGACGGUAGCUGGAUAAGAAGCGCCGGCUAACUACGUG
RNAcentral lists this ribosomal RNA (494 nucleotides) under uncultured bacterium. Its description in RNAcentral is "partial 16S ribosomal RNA". It matches the Rfam family "Bacterial small subunit ribosomal RNA", at positions 28 to 507 of the family's 1533-position model. The record is from RNAcentral.